RNAcentral lists this ribosomal RNA (64 nucleotides) under Kosakonia radicincitans. RNAcentral describes it as "23S rRNA. Bacterial LSU". Lineage: Bacteria; Pseudomonadati; Pseudomonadota; Gammaproteobacteria; Enterobacterales; Enterobacteriaceae. The record is from RNAcentral. RNAcentral also lists the same sequence under 1 other name.
CGGGUGUGUAAGCGCAGCGAUGCGUUGAGCUAACCGGUACUAAUGAACCGUGAGGCUUAACCUU